CCCCGAAGAAAACAAAGGUUCGUAACAUAUGUAUGUACGUAGAUUGAAUGCACCUGUUGUUGACGAAAUCAAUGAUUCGAAGAAUAAAUAAUGAUCUUCAGUUUAUUACCAGUUGUAUUCAGUUUUAUACCCAUCGCUCAUAUGACGCUCUCCAAUAUCCACUAAUUUUCUGGAAGGGACAAGACGGAUAUUGUGUAAACAUUACACAACGAGAUCCCGUAACAGGAGCCGAGAAAGAUAGGAACGUUAGUUCGAAGGAUUUUUAUUCUUAUAGACGCGGCCGAGACAACACCAUUUUACGAUGUCGUGAGCUUUGCCAAAAAUUUACGGUCGACAUAAGCUGCGUGAGGACAAAUAUAUUCACUUACGAGAUGCCAUUGCGAACAACGCUGACACUGCCGAAAUUGGUAAUUAUGUUAUCUUACCACCAUCCUACGUAGGUAGUCCACGUAACAUGGAAGAAUACUUACAGGAUGCUAUCACUUUCGUGCGUAUAUGGACGACCGUUUUCAUUACUUUUACAUGUAAUCCAAAAUGGCAGGAAAUUACAUCGUUGCUAUUACCAGUACAAAUAGCAAUAUAUCGUCAUAACAUAACAGCACGUGUGGUUAAACAAAAAUUAAAGUCUUUAAUCAGCUUUAUUAUAAAACGAGGAGGAACGUUGUGAGUUGCUGCGGA
This is a long non-coding RNA of Drosophila miranda, 678 nucleotides long. RefSeq lists it as uncharacterized. The record is from RefSeq and is a predicted model, not a curated record. Lineage: Eukaryota; Metazoa; Arthropoda; Insecta; Diptera; Drosophilidae. The transcript has 3 exons.